Molecule: microRNA precursor, 96 nt
Filed under: Nicotiana sylvestris (wood tobacco)
Lineage: Eukaryota; Viridiplantae; Streptophyta; Magnoliopsida; Solanales; Solanaceae
Also listed under: 1 other name
Description: MIR6152 microRNA precursor family
Rfam family: MIR6152 microRNA precursor family
Source: Rfam by way of RNAcentral
UGGACAGAUUAUUAUAUUCGACUGUAUUCACUGCGUGAAACAGGGGGUUACACUGUUUUUAAACGGAAAGUGAAUCAAUUAACAUAAUAGACUCCU